UACGUAGGGGGCGAGCGGUGGCCGGAUUCAUUGGGCGUAAAGAGCUCGUAGGCGGUUUGGCAAGUCGGCGGUGAAAGCCCGGGACUCAACCCCGGGAGGUCCGUCGAUACUGUCAUGACUCGAGUCCGGUAGAGGAGUGUGGAAUUCCUGGUGUAGCGGUGAAAUGCGCAGAUAUCAGGAGGAACUCCGGUGGCGAAGGCGGCACUCUGGGGCGGUACUGACGCUGAGGAGCGAAAGCUAGGGGAGCAAACAGG
This 254-nucleotide ribosomal RNA is filed under the name uncultured bacterium. Its description in RNAcentral is "partial 16S ribosomal RNA". It matches the Rfam family "Bacterial small subunit ribosomal RNA", at positions 524 to 776 of the family's 1533-position model. The record is from RNAcentral.